RNAcentral lists this transfer RNA (72 nucleotides) under Bos taurus (domestic cattle). It matches the Rfam family "tRNA". Rfam says of the family: Transfer RNA (tRNA) molecules are approximately 80 nucleotides in length. Their secondary structure includes four short double-helical elements and three loops (D, anti-codon, and T loops). The record is from Rfam by way of RNAcentral. Lineage: Eukaryota; Metazoa; Chordata; Mammalia; Artiodactyla; Bovidae. RNAcentral also lists the same sequence under 5 other names.
UCCCUACUGGCUCAGACAGUAAAGUGUCAGCCUACAAUGCUGGAGACCUGAGUUUGAUCCCUGGGUUGGGAA